AUGUUCCUCCUGUACCCCCCGGGACACUCCGUGUCCCCAGCCACAUCCCAACAUCCCUCCUGUCCCCCCUGCUUUGCUCUGGGACCCCACAUUCCCCUGGGACCCCUGUGGCCCCAAACCCCACGUCCCAUUCACCCCCUAUGUCUCCCUGUACCCCCUCCGCCCCAUUCCCCUCCACAGCCCUGGGCCGCCUGUCCACCUACCCUGGCCCCAUGUCCCCCUAGCCCUGCCCCAGGGCCCCCCCGGCCUCCCAGGCUGACCCCCAGACCCGUGUCUCGGGUCCCACUGACCCCCCCUGUCCCCAGACCCCUAGGUGACCGAAGCCGUGGGUCCCCCACCACCCCAUCCCCUUACAGCCCCUGUGCCCUCAUGUCCUGCACAGCCACGUGCCCCCCCCAGACCCCGAGUCCUACCAGGGCCCUUGUCCCCUACGUGACCUCACGGUCACCUCCUCCCAGUGUCCUCCAGACCCCAUACCUUCCCAGACACUACUCCCCCGGGGCUCCCCCUCAAGUUCUGUGCCCCCAUCUCAUGCUCCAUGGACCCCCAGCCCCGUGUCCCCUCCGUGUCCCUCGUCCCUCACGUGUGCCCACCCUGGCCCCCACAGACACCCGGACUCCCAGCUCCCUGCCAUGCUGCCUACCCGUGUGGCAGUGCCUCCCGACCCUCUGUGCCCUACGGGGUCCCCCAGUGUCGCCCCCAGUCCCGGUGCCCCCCCCCGCACUCACCGCGGACGCGGGGCUGCUCACUCAGCCCCGCCGCAUCCCGCUGCGCUCCGGAGGGGGCCGGGGGGAGCUCAGGGGCGACCAGGGGCUCGGCACGGGGGGAGGUCCGGCCUCCCCGGUGUCCCGGGGGGGGAGUACGGCAGCCCCGGUGCCGCUGUCGGGGGAGCCGAUGUCCGGGGGCGGGGGCUCGUCCGCUGGGCCGGGGACUCGGGGGGACCCCGGUGGCCCGGCGGUUCCCGGCGUCCCGGCCGCUCUCUCAGUCUCCGCGAAGUUUUCUCCUUUGUCUCCCGCUGUCCCGUCCCGCCCCGCCCCGCCGCACCGGGACGGCCCCCGGUACCGGAACGGCCCCCGCGCCCCCGCCCGGUUACGGCGGGACACCCCGGGACCGGCCCCGGCCCCGGCCCCGGGAACGGGACGGGCCCCCCGCCCGUCGCCCCGCGCCCUCGCCCCAGCCCCCCCACCCCGUAGCGGGGCACAGCCCGAGCAUGGCCCGGGGCCAAGAGCUGCCCCUGCUCUCCGGGCUGCCAGGCUGGGGCAGACUGGGAGCACUGGGAAGGCUGGGGUGGGUGUGGGGACGCUGCAGGGCCUGGGGGGGCACUGGGUGUCGCAGAGAGGGCACUGGGGCACACAGGGACAGGGCGGAGGGAGAGGAUGGAGGGGUAGGAUGGACAGAGGGAUGGAGAGAGGACGCACGGACAGGACGGGCAGGGGGAUGGAGGGAGGACACACA
Molecule: long non-coding RNA, 1455 nt
Filed under: Accipiter nisus (Eurasian sparrowhawk)
Lineage: Eukaryota; Metazoa; Chordata; Aves; Accipitriformes; Accipitridae
Description: lncRNA (ENSANIG00000015344.1)
Source: RNAcentral